This 548-nucleotide ribosomal RNA is filed under the name Endria inimica. RNAcentral describes it as "partial 16S ribosomal RNA". The record is from RNAcentral. Lineage: Eukaryota; Metazoa; Arthropoda; Insecta; Hemiptera; Cicadellidae.
CGCCUGUUUAACAAAAACAUUUCUUUUAGGUUUUUUUAAAGGUACUUUCUGCCCUAUGGUUUAAGUUCUAAAUGGCAUGCAGUACGUUGACUGUGCGGAGGGUAGCAUAAUAAUUAGCUUUUAAUUGGGAUCUGGAAUGAAUGGAAAAUUGAGAUACAAAUUUUAUUUAAUAUAUUAUUAAAAUUUAAAUUUUAGGUAAAAAUUCCUAAUUAUUUUCUUGGGACGAAAAGACCCUAUAGAACUUUAUAUUAUUAGUUUUUACUUGAUUUUUAUUAACAAUAUUAAUUAAUUAUUAUUAAAUUUUGCUGGGGUGGUAAAUAAAUUCAUACUUUAUUAAUGCAAAUCAUUAGUUAAUGUUCUUUUUGAUCUUAAUUAUACAAGUAAGAAUAAGUUACCUUAGGGAUAACAGCGUGAUUUUGAUGGUAAGUUCAUAUUUAUAUUAUUUUUUGCGACCUCGAUGUUGAAUUAAGGUAAAUAAGGGGAAGCAGAAUUCUUUUUUUUAAGUCUGUUCGACUUUUAAAUCCCUACUUGAUCUGAGUUCAGACCGG